Molecule: RNA transcript, 2781 nt
Organism: Panicum virgatum (switchgrass)
Lineage: Eukaryota; Viridiplantae; Streptophyta; Magnoliopsida; Poales; Poaceae
Exons: 8
Source: RefSeq, a predicted model, not a curated record
GCCGGAUCCAGCCCGCCCGACGCCCAAUAAUCACGCGUCACAGUCUUCCGCCGCAGCAAUCAAUCGCCCGCCCCCCGCCGUCCCAGCAUCGCGCUACCCUCGCAUCGCGCGUCCCUCGCCCCAAUCAAUCGCCCGCCCCCCGCAGCCGCUCUGUCUCCGGCUUCCGGCCCCUCCGCGCCACCGCCGCUCUGACCCAGUCUUCCGGCCACGCCGCACCAUCACGCCGCCGGCGAGCCUCACGUCGCCGCUCCGCCACCGCGGACUCCCCGGCCUCAUGUCGCUUGCAGGUGCUACAAGGUCUCCCAGUCUUCCGGCCACGCCACGCCAUCACGUACGUCGUCACCGGCCUCACGUCGCCGCUCCACCGCUGCGGACUCCCCGGCCUAACGUCGUACAUAAGGGCCUACUCGCUUGAAGGUGCUACAAGGUGCGGCCUCCUCUCGGGUCUUGUCUGAUCUGGUUCGGGUCCUGGCGACCUGGCGUCUCAGGGAUUGUAGAAUAGCAUUUUGAUUUCUCUCUCAGAAUGCUUGCAUACCAGGGUUGCCUUCCGCCGACGCCCACAAGGUUUAUGUCGAAUUGCCACAGAUAAUUGUCAGUGACAUACACUAUAUUUCCUUGUCAUUCACGCGGAGGGGCAGGGGAAUUAUUAGCUUUGCUGUAUCUAUUUGUUUGCAUAAGUUCAGUAUAUUUGUUCUUACAGACACCUGAUUUAGAAAUCUUCUUCGUUUAAAAAAAAGGAAUCUUCAGCACUAUAAUAUACUACAUCAAACCAAAGCAGAUUAGCACUCACUCGACACUUCGAACCAAGAUGUCUUUAGAAAAUAUGGUGGCAUUAUCUCACCCUUUUGGGGCCCAGUAAUCUUCAGUGUACAUUGGGUGUCUACAUCUGUAACCAACCCACUUCAAGCAUGCUACCUUAGAUAACGAUUACUGAUGAGUAGAGGGAGGAAAAGAACAGGAAGCGGCGUGAGGCAUAUAAGAGGAAGAAGUAUCAAUCACACAACAAGGAAAAUGAUCCAGUGGACUUCAAUACGAGUAAUCCUAAUAAUACUAAUGCGGCGGACAAAUGCAUCAUUUCUAACAACCCGGAACAUACAACUGCCUCGUCUUUGCUCAGAUGAGAAAGUGAUAGAGUUUUGGCUCCAUUGAAGUCAAUUGAUGGAAGUUUUGAAAUAAAUAAAAAGCACGGUGGAGCUGAUCAUAACAACAAAAAAUGGAAAACAGAGAAAAGCGAUUUCUGCAGCUGAAGAACAUGGUGCACCACCGUCGCUCCUACAGUCAACGAGCAUCCAACGACUCAGCUUUUCUCCAAGCAUUCCGCUGACUCAAUCCCCAAUGACAUGGUGAGGGCUAAACUCUUCGAUGCCUGGACAGAUAUCCCACCAGAUGAAGAACAUGGUGCAUCCAUCACCUAUUCUCCUACAAUCAUCGAGCAUCCCACAAGUCUGCCAAUCACUGAGCAAAUGACAGUUCCUUCUGCCAUGGUUCACUGGGAAAAACUUCAUGCUAUAUGUCUUGGAUCAUGUGGAUAAAAAGCUUAUCGUGAUUGACCCGUCAUGUGUUUCGAAGUGGUGUGAAGACAUUCCAUACAGAAAAUACGGAAAUACGAUUACACAUUUCUACAAGAAGUAUAUAGCUGCAAUGAACAUACAUAUUCCCAAUUGGAACCAGAAUAUCUACCAGUGGAAGUUCACCCAUGAGAAGGGUAUUGUUGAAGAUGACGAGCAAGGGUAAGUUAUUAUAGAUUACUAAUUGUUAAUAGCUUUUAUUUACACUGUACAACAAUAUGGUUGAAAGCUUCCGCGGCUAUUUUACGGGCUACCUGGUUCUGCAUUACAUGUCUUGGUGGAAAAGUGCCCGGAGUGUGGAGAUUUGUAAGGAUCACAUUAAGAUGCGGCAGAACUUCAUCAUCGAUCUGUUGUCAUCGGACUUGAAUGCUUAUCGAAAAUUGCUUUCUGCUGAAGUAAAAAAUUUUCUUAGCAACAUCAAUGGAUGGGAUAUAAAAUAGAAUUCACUAUAGUUUUGUUUGUAUAUGAGUGUGCUUCAGUGACAAUGACAUACCUAUGGAUUUAUUUGGAACUAUAUGUUAUUUAGUGGUAUGUAUAUAGAAUGCUCGUGCGUUCAAAUAUACUUAAACAUUUAUAGUUAUCUCGAAUUCUCGAUUGCUGAUAUGUUUAUUCCUAUUUUUUUUGCCCAUAGCAACGCACAGGCAUGAACCUAGUAUCACUAAAAAUGGCACUGGUUUUGUAGUGUUUGCUCGAGUGUCAUGUCGAGGGCUUGUUUGGAUGAGUUAUAUUUCCGUUCAGAAUAGCUUGCUGUGUAAUGUGAUGUCCUGGAAUGUGCCUAUCAUUCCCAGCUGUUGUCUAACACAUGCCACUUCCAUACCCUUAAGUUGAUCUUUCAACCCCUGCACAGGAGAAUUUACGAUAGUGUUUGUAAAUACUGGAUAAAAAUGUUUGGCUUUCCUAUUUAGUUUAUAUGUUUUUUGCAUGUCCUGCAGGGGAAAGGAGAAUUUACAAUGGAGUAUCUAGAGCACAAUAUUGUCUCGCAAGAUGUACAGAUGCAAUUAGUGAAUUCAUAGAAGGCGGCCAAGGGCACAGAUUCUUCUGGAUUACAGAGGAACAAAUUUUGUUUACUGUUUAUAUGCUAACUUGCAAUGAUUCAUACUAAAUGGUUUGAAGCAAAAAUACAAGUAUGCUGCUAUAGUCUGCAAUCCCUCGGUACAAUUAUACAAACAUCCAUUAGCAAAUGUCGGAAUUUGCUCACUUGUAAUGAUUAUCA